Molecule: long non-coding RNA, 910 nt
Filed under: Homo sapiens (human)
Lineage: Eukaryota; Metazoa; Chordata; Mammalia; Primates; Hominidae
Description: non-protein coding lnc-LILRB4-1:2
Source: RNAcentral
GGUAUUGUCUUUCUCACUCAGACCGCUGCUGGAAUCCUUGGAAAUUCUUCACUCCUUUACUUUUUUAGCUUUACUUUUAUCACUUCACAGAUAUUGAGACCCAGAGACCUGAUUCUCAGCCAGCUGGUCUUAGCCAACAACCUGGUUCUUUUCUCUAAACGAAUCCCCCAGACAAUGGCAGCUUUUGGAAUGAAAUCCUUCCUGGACGAGGCUGGAUGAAACUUGUCUUCUAUCUAUACACAGAGUGGCCAGAGGGGUUUCCCUCAGCACCGCCUGUCUCCCCAGUGGCUUCCAGGCCAUGAAGCUUCAACCUCAGUAUCUCUAGGAGGAUGGAACUCCGAAUUAGGUCCACAAAGUGCAUUGUUUUCUGCUGCCCCCUCUGCUGGAUCUUGCAAAUUGUGGCAUAUACCCAUAUUGCAAUGCAUGUAACUGGCCCAAUGAAGAGCAAAAACGUGAGUAUGGAAUAAAUGUAUAGGUACUCUCCUCACCCAUUCUAGGAUGAUUGCUAUUCUUAGCAAAUGCAGUCAUUUUCUCCCUUGUGGAUGGUAUGUCUUUGGCCCUCAUGGACUACACCAGCAGCUCCAUGAUCCUCUUCUUAUAUAGACACAAGCAGACAGUCCAAUGCAUUCGCAGCCACGGCCUCUCCCCCUGAAAAUCUCAUGAAACUAGAGCCACACACACCAUCCUCGUCCUGGUGAGCAUGUUUGUCUCCUCUCAUGGUCUAGCUGGUAUUUUAUCACUGUGGGUAACCUGGAUUCAGAACCCAAGCCAUUGGCUGAGAAGCAUCUCUUUCCUGGUGUCUGCAGGAUUCCCGACAUUCAGCCCCUUUGGGUUCAUUGUCAGUGAUGCCCGCGUCUCACAGUUCUGCACUGUCUGCUGGACAAGGAAGACAAAUGCUCCAAGUGUGGUC